UAAUACGUAGGUGGCAAGCGUUGUCCGGAUUUAUUGGGUUUAAAGGGUGCGUAGGCGGCCUAUUAAGUCAGUGCUGAAAUAUCCCGGCUUAACCGGGAGGGUGGCAUUGAUACUGAUGGGCUUGAGUAAAGUUGAGGUAGGCGGAAUUGACGGUGUAGCGGUGAAAUGCUUAGAUAUCGUCAAGAACACCUAUUGCGAAGGCAGCUUACUAAGCUUUAACUGACGCUGAUGCACGAAAGUGUGGGGAUCAAACAGGAUUAGAUACCCUGGUAGUCCACACUGUAAACGUUGAUGACUCGCUGUUGGCGAUACACAGUCAGCGGCUGAGAGAAAUCGUUAAGUCAUCCACCUGGGGAGUACGCCGGCAACGGUG
Molecule: ribosomal RNA, 373 nt
Filed under: uncultured bacterium
Lineage: Bacteria
Description: bacterial SSU rRNA
Rfam family: Bacterial small subunit ribosomal RNA
Source: RNAcentral